AAACUUCCUGCUUCUAUUCGUUGACCACAGAGUGGUACCUGGAGAUAUGUCGCGGGGGUCAGGAGACCUUGGGGACGUCAGGUGGGGUGCUAUUUCCCAAAACCAAGCUUGACCAAUCCCGGCCCAACCCGGGCAUAGUCAGUCAGUGAGAACCUGUGAUGUACCUAAACAGGCGAGCUCCUGGCAGUCAACAGAUAAAAGGAACAAAGACCACAAAGCAAGGAGGCUUGUGUGGUGGCUGGCCAGCUGUGAAUCUUGUGUGAUAUAUGGGUUAUGGCCUCUGGUAAUCGAUUACCAAGGGUGGGUAAUCGAUUACAAGGCUUAAAAAUG
Molecule: long non-coding RNA, 330 nt
Filed under: Glycine max (soybean)
Lineage: Eukaryota; Viridiplantae; Streptophyta; Magnoliopsida; Fabales; Fabaceae
Description: long non-coding RNA (GMAX_LNC004326)
Source: RNAcentral